RNAcentral lists this non-coding RNA (24 nucleotides) under Arabidopsis thaliana (thale cress). The record is from RNAcentral. Lineage: Eukaryota; Viridiplantae; Streptophyta; Magnoliopsida; Brassicales; Brassicaceae.
CACCACCUCCAGCGCCACCACCAC